UCCUACGGGAGGCAGCAGUGGGGAAUAUUGCACAAUGGGGGAAACCCUGAUGCAGCCAUGCCGCGUGUGUGAAGAAGGCCUUCGGGUUGUAAAGCACUUUCAGUUGUGAGGAAGGCAUAUACGUUAAUAGCGUAUGUGUUUGACGUUAGCAACAGAAGAAGCACCGGCUAACUCCGUGCCAGCAGCCGCGGUAAUACGGAGGGUGCGAGCGUUAAUCGGAAUUACUGGGCGUAAAGCGCAUGCAGGCGGCUUGUUAAGCCAGAUGUGAAAGCCCGGGGCUCAACCUCGGAAUAGCAUUUGGAACUGGCAGGCUAGAGUCUUGUAGAGGGGGGUAGAAUUUCAGGUGUAGCGGUGAAAUGCGUAGAGAUCUGAAGGAAUACCGGUGGCGAAGGCGGCCCCCUGGACAAAGACUGACGCUCAGAUGCGAAAGCGUGGGGAGCAAACAGGAUUAGAUACCCUGGUAGUCCACGCCGUAAACGAUGUCUACUUGGAGGUUGGUGUCUUGAACACUGGCUUUCGGAGCUAACGCGUUAAGUAGACCGCCUGGGGAGUACGGUCGCAAGAUUAAAACUCAAAUGAAUUGACGG
Molecule: ribosomal RNA, 587 nt
Filed under: uncultured bacterium
Lineage: Bacteria
Description: bacterial SSU rRNA
Rfam family: Bacterial small subunit ribosomal RNA
Source: RNAcentral